RNAcentral lists this ribosomal RNA (252 nucleotides) under uncultured bacterium. RNAcentral's name for it is "partial 16S ribosomal RNA". It matches the Rfam family "Bacterial small subunit ribosomal RNA", at positions 524 to 776 of the family's 1533-position model. The record is from RNAcentral.
UACGUAGGGUGCAAGCGUUAAUCGGAAUACUGGGCGUAAAGCGUGCGCAGGCGGUUCUAUAAGACAGAUGUGAAAUCCCCGGGCUCAACCUGGGAACUGCAUUUGUGACUGUAGAGCUGGAGUACGGCAGAGGGGGAUGGAAUUCCGCGUGUAGCAGUGAAAUGCGUAGAUAUGCGGAGGAACACCGAUGGCGAAGGCAAUCCCCUGGGCCUGUACUGACGCUCAUGCACGAAAGCGUGGGGAGCAAACAGG